RNAcentral lists this ribosomal RNA (498 nucleotides) under uncultured bacterium. Its description in RNAcentral is "bacterial SSU rRNA". It matches the Rfam family "Bacterial small subunit ribosomal RNA", at positions 28 to 516 of the family's 1533-position model. The record is from RNAcentral.
GAUGAACGCUGGCGGCGUGCCUAACACAUGCAAGUCGAACGGGGGUGCCAUGUGUGAAGGAGCAGCUUGCUGCUCUGGAACUUUUGGGAUCCUAGUGGCGGACGGGUGAGUAACGCGUGGGCAACCUGCCCCAUACCGGGGGAUAACACUUAGAAAUAGGUGCUAAUACCGCAUAAGCGCACGGCAUCGCAUGAUGCAGUGUGAAAAACUCCGGUGGUAUGGGAUGGACCCGCGUCUGAUUAGCUAGUUGGCGGGGUAACGGCCCACCAAGGCGACGAUCAGUAGCCGGCCUGAGAGGGUGGACGGCCACAUUGGGACUGAGACACGGCCCAAACUCCUACGGGAGGCAGCAGUGGGGAAUAUUGCACAAUGGGGGAAACCCUGAUGCAGCGACGCCGCGUGAGUGAAGAAGUAUCUCGGUAUGUAAAGCUCUAUCAGCAGGGAAAGAAAAUGACGGUACCUGACCAAGAAGCCCCGGCUAACUACGUGCCAGCAGCC